This 478-nucleotide small RNA is filed under the name Alternaria alternata. RNAcentral's name for it is "eukaryotic LSU rRNA". The stretch from base 148 to 301 matches the Rfam family "5.8S ribosomal RNA". The record is from RNAcentral. Lineage: Eukaryota; Fungi; Ascomycota; Dothideomycetes; Pleosporales; Pleosporaceae.
CUGGAACCUCUCGGGGUUACAGCCUUGCUGAAUUAUUCACCCUUGUCUUUUGCGUACUUCUUGUUUCCUUGGUGGGUUCGCCCACCACUAGGACAAACAUAAACCUUUUGUAAUUGCAAUCAGCGUCAGUAACAAAUUAAUAAUUACAACUUUCAACAACGGAUCUCUUGGUUCUGGCAUCGAUGAAGAACGCAGCGAAAUGCGAUAAGUAGUGUGAAUUGCAGAAUUCAGUGAAUCAUCGAAUCUUUGAACGCACAUUGCGCCCUUUGGUAUUCCAAAGGGCAUGCCUGUUCGAGCGUCAUUUGUACCCUCAAGCUUUGCUUGGUGUUGGGCGUCUUGUCUCUAGCUUUGCUGGAGACUCGCCUUAAAGUAAUUGGCAGCCGGCCUACUGGUUUCGGAGCGCAGCACAAGUCGCACUCUCUAUCAGCAAAGGUCUAGCAUCCAUUAAGCCUUUUUUUCAACUUUUGACCUCGGAUCA